RNAcentral lists this ribosomal RNA (505 nucleotides) under uncultured bacterium. RNAcentral describes it as "partial 16S ribosomal RNA". It matches the Rfam family "Bacterial small subunit ribosomal RNA", at positions 28 to 523 of the family's 1533-position model. The record is from RNAcentral.
AACGAACGCUGGCGGCGUGUCUUAAGCAUGCAAGUCGGGCGGCAAGGCGGGGCAACCCGCCCUAGAGCGGCGGACUGGUGAGUAACACGUGGGUGAUCUGCCCUUGGGUUGGGGAUAGCCACUAGAAAUAGUGGGUAAUACCGGAUACGUUCCCCCGAUCGCGGUCGGGGGAGGAAAGGCGCUACGGCGCCGCCCGAGGAUGAGCCCGGGCCCCAGUAGCUAGUUGGGGAGGUAACGGCCCACCAAGGCGAUGAUGGGUAGCCGGCCUGAGAGGGUGUACGGCCACACUGGGACUGAGAUACGGCCCAGACUCCUACGGGAGGCAGCAGCUAAGAAUAUUCCGCAAUGGACGAAAGUCUGACGGAGCGACGCCGCGUGGAUGACGAAGGCCGUGAGGUUGUAAAAUCCUUUUGCUGGGGAAGAAUAAGCGCGGGAGGGAAUGCCCGCGCGAUGACAUGAACCGGCGAAUAAGCCCCGGCCAACUACGUGCCAGCAGCCGCGGUAA